GGUUAAGCGACUAAGCGUACACGGUGGAUGCCCUGGCAGUCAGAGGCGAUGAAGGACGUGCUAAUCUGCGAAAAGCGUCGGUAAGGUGAUAUGAACCGUUACAGCC
RNAcentral lists this ribosomal RNA (106 nucleotides) under Klebsiella pneumoniae. Its description in RNAcentral is "partial 23S ribosomal RNA". It matches the Rfam family "Bacterial large subunit ribosomal RNA", at positions 1 to 105 of the family's 2925-position model. Lineage: Bacteria; Pseudomonadati; Pseudomonadota; Gammaproteobacteria; Enterobacterales; Enterobacteriaceae. The record is from RNAcentral.